This 484-nucleotide ribosomal RNA is filed under the name Bemisia tabaci. Its description in RNAcentral is "partial 16S ribosomal RNA". The record is from RNAcentral. Lineage: Eukaryota; Metazoa; Arthropoda; Insecta; Hemiptera; Aleyrodidae.
ACAAAAACAUAGUUUAAAGAAAAAGAUUUUAGAUAAAUUCUGCUCAAUGAGUAAAUUAAAUAGCUGCAGUAAAUUAACUGUACUAAGGUAGCAUAAUAAGUUGCUUUAUAAUUAAAAGCUUGAAUGAAAGAAAUAAUGUGAAACAAGCUUUUUAAACUAAAGUAGUAAAAAUUAAUAUUUAAGUGAAAAAUCUUAAAUAAAAUCAAAAGACAAGAAGACCCUUUAGAACUUUACAAAUUAACUUAAUUUCAUUUGGUUAAUUUGUUAGAUUGGGGAGAUUUUUAAAUAAAUAAAUCUUUAGAUAUAAAAAAAUGAUUUAAAUCAAAUUAAAUUAUCCAAAUAUGAAAUAAAACAAGUUACCUAAGGGAUAACAGCGCAAAAUUUUUGAGAAGUUCUCAUUUACAAAAUAAAUUGCGACCUCGAUGUUGGAUUAAGAACAACUUAUAAAGCAAAAAUUGAUAAGAACCGGAGCUCGCGACCAUCU